GCUGGGUGUGGUGGUGCGUGCCUGUAAUCCCAGCAGCUCUGGAGGCUGAGGCAAGAGGAUCUCAAGUUUAAAGCCAGUCUCAGCAACUCAGCAAGACCUUGUCUUUA
This 107-nucleotide small RNA is filed under the name Marmota monax (woodchuck). The record is from RNAcentral. Lineage: Eukaryota; Metazoa; Chordata; Mammalia; Rodentia; Sciuridae.